Molecule: long non-coding RNA, 561 nt
Organism: Seriola aureovittata
Lineage: Eukaryota; Metazoa; Chordata; Actinopteri; Carangiformes; Carangidae
Exons: 4
Source: RefSeq, a predicted model, not a curated record
GGCUGUGUUUAAAGACACGCUGUGAUUGGUCGGUGAGCUGCAUAAAGACAUCAUGGCGGGGGCUCGGCGGACCUGGGUCAUAGCGGAGAGCAACAUGGAGCUGUCCCGAGGAGAACACGUCGAUAAACCGAGGACAGUGAGGUGUUUCGGGAAGCAGACCUGAUGUGGACUGACCAAGACAGGAUCUGUGUGAUCUGACUCUGCCCCACCCCCCCACACACAACCACACAGACUGGGAUUGAUGGAUCGACUUCAGUGACCUGCAGGAGAUGAGGCUGUGAUGUCAGAACUGCAAGAUGAUGGUGAGUGACUGAAGGAUGUCUCCUGGCUGCAGUCUGAGGACAGCUGGUGAGUGUCUGAGCUGCGUCCCAGUUCACUGCACUCGUUUCCAGUAUGUGGUCUGCUCAUACUGGGACAAGGACUGAAGCAACUUCAGAGACCAGGAAGCAGACUUGUCUCAAUCAACAUAGUCUUAAUGAUUUCACUGUUUAACUCUGACCCCACAGGUCUGCUCAUGUAAACUUUCUUGUGUUUUAAUAAAGGUUGAUGUUAUUAACUGUU